AUUUUUAAAGACUUCCAUGAUUUCAUCGUACUGAGAUUUUUUCUUUGAGUCUUGUAGUCUACUAGGAAAGGGAACCUUAGUGUGUAAGUUUCUAUUGGUUUCUCCUCUAUUCCUUGUGUUCCCUGUUCUUGUGCCUUUUUCUGGGUGGGGUUUGGUUCAUGUUUUUCUUCUUUUUCUUGCACAGAAAGUUGGACUUUGUUGUCCACUUGCUUGCCAGAUCGUAAAGUGGUAAUUGCCUGGACUUCAUGGGUAGGGUUUCCAUU
This 263-nucleotide long non-coding RNA is filed under the name Phoenix dactylifera (date palm). RNAcentral's name for it is "long non-coding RNA (PDAC_LNC016072)". The record is from RNAcentral. Lineage: Eukaryota; Viridiplantae; Streptophyta; Magnoliopsida; Arecales; Arecaceae.